GACUGUGGUGCUAGGAGUUGAUUUACAACAUCCUGUUGCCUUUCUGUGGAAUUCGGCUCCUCAUGUUUCAACCAUUCUCCCGAUCGAAUCUUUCAUUUGUCUGGUUCGGGUCAGAUACGCUACACAAGGUAAAGAAGAUGUGAUCAUGUGGCUCAAAUCAAAAGUGGAUACCAGCAAGACCUUUGAGCUCUGUGUGUCUCGAGAUCAUAUGUUUGAAAGAGGUCUGAAGCUAUGGAAGCGCAACAAAAAGGCUACACCAAUUAAUCCCUUGCGGAUCAAAUUCCUUGGAGAGGCGGGGAUUGAUACAGGGGCCCUUAGAAAAGAGUUUCUGACCACAAUGGUAUCUGGGAUUGAGCAGCGCCUUUUUGAAGGUGUGAAGUCCAAAAUGCCCAAAUAUUCUGUGAAUGACUUUGAUGAAGAGCUCUUCAGGUAGGUGAUUUGCAGUGAUGGGAUUUGAUGGAAGGGAGGGUGGGGGCAAUGAGUUAUACAUUGCUUUUUUCA
Molecule: long non-coding RNA, 501 nt
Organism: Carassius gibelio (silver crucian carp)
Lineage: Eukaryota; Metazoa; Chordata; Actinopteri; Cypriniformes; Cyprinidae
Exons: 3
Source: RefSeq, a predicted model, not a curated record